AGAGUUUGAUCCUGGCUCAGGAUGAACGCUGGCGGCGUGCUUAACACAUGCAAGUCGAACGGACUUAUAUUGAAACCUAGUGAAUUAUAAGUUAGUGGCGGACGGGUGAGUAACGCGUGGAAAACCUGCCGUAUACUGGGGGAUAACACUUAGAAAUAGGUGCUAAUACCGCAUAAGCGCACAGCUUCGCAUGAAGCAGUGCGAAAAACUCCGGUGGUAUACGAUGGUUCCGCGUCUGAUUAGCUAGUUGGUGGGGUAAUGGCCUACCAAAGCGACGAUCAGUAGCCGGCCUGAGAGGGCGGACGGCCACAUUGGGACUGAGACACGGCCCAGACUCCUACGGGAGGCAGCAGUGGGGGAUAUUGCACAAUGGGGGGAACCCUGAUGCAGCGACGCCGCGUGAGUGAAGAAGUAAUUCGUUAUGUAAAGCUCUAUCAGCAGGGAAGAAUAAAUGACGGUACCUGAGUAAGAAGCCCCGGCUAACUACGUGCCAGCAGCCGCGGUAAUACGUAGGGGGCAAGCGUUAUCCGGAUUUACUGGGU
This 542-nucleotide ribosomal RNA is filed under the name uncultured bacterium. RNAcentral describes it as "bacterial SSU rRNA". It matches the Rfam family "Bacterial small subunit ribosomal RNA", at positions 8 to 559 of the family's 1533-position model. The record is from RNAcentral.